Molecule: long non-coding RNA, 348 nt
Organism: Bubalus bubalis (water buffalo)
Lineage: Eukaryota; Metazoa; Chordata; Mammalia; Artiodactyla; Bovidae
Exons: 2
Source: RefSeq, a predicted model, not a curated record
AGUUUACAACAUGAUAGUGAAAACAUUUCAAAGACAUGGAAAGUGAUCAAUUACUCAAUAAACCAUCAUGAGAAAACCGGCUACUAUUUUUCGAAAGCUUGAUAUCGGAGAAGGACUACUGCAAGUGCUCUGUGCUGGACCAGGGUGACCAAGGAGAUAAAUGCUUACUUGAAAGCAUGCCCAAACCACCUACAUAAUUAUCAACAUGGAACUUCACGGGCACAAAAGUUUUAAAUACGACUUUUGACCAAACACUGGCUGUGUAAUAACUAAUCCUAAUAACCUAUUCUAACCUAAAUGUAACUCCCACGAACACAAACAUAAAAAUUAUAUCAUUAUCCUUGGUAA